This 464-nucleotide ribosomal RNA is filed under the name uncultured bacterium. Its description in RNAcentral is "partial 16S ribosomal RNA". It matches the Rfam family "Bacterial small subunit ribosomal RNA", at positions 28 to 507 of the family's 1533-position model. The record is from RNAcentral.
GACGAACGCUGGCGGCGUGCUUAACACAUGCAAGUCGAACGGAAAGGCCCCUUUUGGGGUACUCGAGUGGCGAACGGGGGAGUAACACGUGAGUAACCUGCCCUUGACUUCGGGAUAACUUCAGGAAACUGGGGCUAAUACCGGAUAGGAAUCCUUGCUGCAUGGUGGGGGUUGGAAAGCUUCGGCGGUUUUGGAUGGACUCGCGGCUUAUCAGCUUGUUGGUGGGGUAGUGGCUUACCAAGGCUUUGACGGGUAGCCGGCCUGAGAGGGCGACCGGCCACAUUGGGACUGAGAUACGGCCCAGACUCCUACGGGAGGCAGCAGUGGGGAAUAUUGCACAAUGGGCGGAAGCCUGAUGCAGCAACGCCGCGUGCGGGAUGACGGCCUUCGGGUUGUAGACCGCUUUCAGCAGGGGCGAAGCUUUUGUGACGGUACCUGCAGAAGAAGCACCGGCUAACUACGUG